GGAAGGGACUUCACAAUUUUCACUUAUAUACAAACAAGAGUUGAAAGAAAAGGAUCCAGGAAUAGAGAGCAUUGAAAAAUUACAUGAAAAAAAAUAAUUAAUUUUCACUUUUUGAGAUGAAAAAUAGCCCAAGUAUAUCUGUUGAUCUGCAGGCAAUAGUAUUGAAAAUUCAAUAGCUUAUCAUAGAAUUUCUUCUCAACCAUCCACAGAAAGGAGAGCUUCU
RNAcentral lists this unclassified non-coding RNA (223 nucleotides) under Hevea brasiliensis (rubber tree). The record is from RNAcentral. Lineage: Eukaryota; Viridiplantae; Streptophyta; Magnoliopsida; Malpighiales; Euphorbiaceae.